AUGACAGAAUCACAGCAUGUGCUGAGUUGGAAGGGACCCACAGGGAUCACAGAUCCAGCUCCCAGCCCUGCACAGGACCAGCACCAAGAAUCAUAUCCUGUGCCUGAGAGUGAUGAGCAUCUUGUGGCCUUUGGGUGCUUUAACUCCUCUGGAGACAGCCACAUGAGGAAGUCAGGAAAGAAGAAAAAAAAAGCUGACCUUAUAGUAAGUUAUUACUGUUUAUGCCAGUGUCUGGAUUUCAAGCCACCCUGGAGCCAAAAGGCUGAGAGCAUGCUCUGCUACACUCUGAACUACCACUCAGGAAGGAGCUCUUGGAACCAUUUGGGGAGAGUUCUGGGACUCUUCAGGAGCUGUCAAAAAGGCAAGAAAGACUCUAAGAAUGAAGGGGAAGUUAAAAAAAUAAAUAUCUUAUGGAAAAAUGUAAAUAUUUUUUAAA
Molecule: long non-coding RNA, 436 nt
Filed under: Cyanistes caeruleus (blue tit)
Lineage: Eukaryota; Metazoa; Chordata; Aves; Passeriformes; Paridae
Description: lncRNA (ENSCCEG00000021288.1)
Source: RNAcentral